GAUGAACGCUGGCGGCGUGCUUAACACAUGCAAGUCGAACGAAGCAUUUAAGACAGAUUACUUCGGUUUGAAGUCUUUUAUGACUGAGUGGCGGACGGGUGAGUAACGCGUGGGUAACCUGCCUCAUACAGGGGGAUAGCAGCAGGAAACGGCUGGUAAUACCGCAUAAGCGCACAGUACCACAUGGUACAGUGUGAAAAACUCCGGUGGUAUGAGAUGGACCCGCGUCUGAUUAGCUUGUUGGCGGGGUAACGGCCCACCAAGGCGACGAUCAGUAGCCGAGCUGAGAGGGUGACCGGCCACAUUGGGACUGAGACACGGCCCAGACUCCUACGGGAAGCAGCAGUGGGGAAUAUUGCACAAUGGAGGAAACUCUGAUGCAGCGACGCCGCGUGAGUGAAGAAGUAGUUCGCUAUGUAAAGCUCUAUCAGCAGGGAAGAUAGUGACGGUACCUGACUAAGAAGCUCCGGCUAAAUACGUG
This 481-nucleotide ribosomal RNA is filed under the name uncultured bacterium. Its description in RNAcentral is "partial 16S ribosomal RNA". It matches the Rfam family "Bacterial small subunit ribosomal RNA", at positions 28 to 507 of the family's 1533-position model. The record is from RNAcentral.